This 441-nucleotide ribosomal RNA is filed under the name uncultured archaeon. RNAcentral describes it as "bacterial SSU rRNA". It matches the Rfam family "Archaeal small subunit ribosomal RNA", at positions 50 to 496 of the family's 1478-position model. The record is from RNAcentral.
CAUGCGAGUCGAGAGGGUUCGGCCCUCGGCGUACUGCUCAGUAACACGUGGAUAACCUACCCUGGGAUGGGGGAUAAUCUCGGAAAACUGAGGAUAAUACCCCAUAGGUCUGGGAGGCUGGAAUGCGCCCAGACUAAAAACUCCGGUGUCCCAGGAUGGGUCUGCGGCCUAUCAGGUUGUAGUGGGUGUAAAGGACCCACUAGCCGACGACGGGUACGGGCCAUGGGAGUGGUAGCCCGGAGAUGGAUUCUGAGACACGAAUCCAGGCCCUACGGGGCGCAGCAGGCGCGAAAACUUCGCAAUGCGCGAAAGCGCGACGAGGGGAUUCCAAGUGCAUGCACUCAGUGCAUGCUGUUUUCCAGUGUAAACAGCUGGGAGAGUAAGGGCUGGGUAAGACUGGUGCCAGCCGCCGCGGUAAUACCAGCGGCCCUAGUGGUGAUC